Molecule: ribosomal RNA, 216 nt
Filed under: Prorocentrum minimum
Lineage: Eukaryota; Dinophyceae; Prorocentrales; Prorocentraceae
Description: partial Bacterial large subunit ribosomal RNA
Rfam family: Bacterial large subunit ribosomal RNA
Source: RNAcentral
GGCCGCUGAGCGGUUCCUGGAAAUAGCUCCAUCAUGAGAUCGUACCCGAAACCGACACAGGUGGACUGGUAGAGCAUACCAAGGCGCUUGAGAGAACGAUGUUGAAGGAACUCGGCAAAAUACCUCCGUAAGUUCGCGAGAAGGAGGCCCGGGUUCAAGGCAACUUGGAUCCGGGGGCACAAACCAGGGGGUGGCGACUGUUUACUAAAAACACAG